Molecule: long non-coding RNA, 1465 nt
Organism: Salvia miltiorrhiza (redroot sage)
Lineage: Eukaryota; Viridiplantae; Streptophyta; Magnoliopsida; Lamiales; Lamiaceae
Exons: 6
Source: RefSeq, a predicted model, not a curated record
CGAACAGUCAUCUCUCUCUCUCUCUCAAUCAAUUGUAUUCCUAUUAAGAUUUCUCCACACAACGAUUUCGAAAUCAAUUGAAGUUGAAGACAUUCAUCAUUAUACAAGUAAAUGGUAUGGCGUGGUUUUUAGGAGUGAAGAAGAAGGAAGGUGAAAGAUGGGCGUAUUAGGGUUCCUGAGGAGAGUGGUAGCUGCAACUAUGGGCUGUUUUCUCGGUUGUUUUGGAGUGAAAGACUCGCACUCUCGUCUCAAAACAACUCCCGAGAAGGAGCGCCUUGUGUAUCGCGAUAGGAAUGCACUGUCAUCGCUAUUUGUUCCCGAUGGUUAACUAGACUCAGAAGAUGAUUUAAUUCGAAAGACUGAGGAAAGUUGGGGUCCAAUGUCUGAAGCAAUUGAUAUUAAGGAGCUCAAGGAUGAGGCCAAGUUCCUGAAAGCAUGUGGAACUUUGCUUGAGACUCCUGUUGAAAUUCAUAAAGUCUCUCGUAAAAGGCUGGAUACAGAUGCUCACAAAGAAGAACUCAAUCCAUUGAUGACCUGUGCAUCCAUUGAGAAACUGAAACUAAAGGAUCCACUUGAUGAAUCUUCAACGCCUGUUAAAACUGGUGGAAAAUGGGUAACUGGUGAAGGUUUUUUGGUAGGCAAUCUGAGCAGAUAUGUCUCAUGCAUAUAAAUUUGAAUGUAUUGAGCAGCUCUGGUUCUCAAAAAUAAUGUUGAGUUAUACAUGAGUUGUCAAUUUGUCAUGUUUUCAGCAUAUCAGUAGAUAUCAGAUAUAGUUGCAUAAUCAGUAGAUAUCAGAUAUAAGUUGUCAAUUUGUCAUGAGUUGUCAAUUUGAAUGCAGCAAAAUAAGCCCAAGUGCCAUGGAAUCCGUUUUUCCUGAAGUUGAUUUUCUAUUAUCUUUGUUUAAGAAUUCAUGUACGCAGUUGGUUGAUCUUAGGAAACAGGUGAAGCUUUCAGCUAAUUUCCUUUCAGUGGUAUGCUAUUCACUUAUGAUCUCCCUAAUAUUGAUGUUUGUUCUCUGAUUGACCAGAAACUCUACAAUGAUAAAACUGAAGUUUCUGCUCAAGACACUCUAAGCAUCGGAAGACGCUUUCUGAGGUAGUUGCUAAACUGUACCAAUGCUUCUCCUGCUCGGGAUCCAGGAACUCCGGCCGGCAGCUCAGGAUGAUGGGGAAGGAACCAAUAUUUUCUGCCACAAUAUUUGUGAACACAUGUAUUAUGUGCUAUGUAAUGUUGCAAGAAUGAUGAGGUGACAACCUAUUAACUUGUUCAAUCCAAAGCGUGUUUAAACAUCUUCUACUCCAGCAUGUAUACAUGGUCGUGGAACUCCACAAGCAUAAGCAUUUAUAUAUUAAUGGAGGAACUUGUAAAGGGUUGAACGGUAGUCAUGUUGGCAUUCUGGAAACAGAUUAAGGAACAUUAGAUACUUAAAUUUCACAACUUAGGAUAACCAUAUGCUGCAUUUCCC